Molecule: long non-coding RNA, 236 nt
Filed under: Elaeis guineensis (African oil palm)
Lineage: Eukaryota; Viridiplantae; Streptophyta; Magnoliopsida; Arecales; Arecaceae
Description: long non-coding RNA (EGUI_LNC038902)
Source: RNAcentral
GCCCCCUUUCAUAAUUUUCCAUGGUGAGUUAAAUCAUUAUCUAUUUUUUUACAUAAAAAAAUCCCUUAGAAAGUUGCACAAAAGAAAGAGAAUAAAAGAGAUAGCGUGUGGAGUGAUUUGGAUAAGAUCAAACUCUCUUGAUAAGGAAUGUUUUGAAACUCAAUUUCAAAACCUUCCUUUUAUCAAAAUCAAAUCAGAUUUGGACAUGAGAUAGAGAGGGAGAAGAAUUCUUUGGC